AGACCCGAAACCCGGUGAUCUAGCCAUGGGCAGGUUGAAGGUUGGGUAACACUAACUGGAGGACCGAACCGACUAAUGUUGAAAAAUUAGCGGAUGACCUGUGGCUGGGGGUGAAAGGCCAAUCAAACCGGGAGAUAGCUGGUUCUCCCCGAAAGCUAUUUAGGUAGCGCCUCGUGAAUUCAUCUCCGGGGGUAGAGCACUGUUUCGGCUAGGGGGCCAUCCCGGCUUACCAACCCGAUGCAAACUGCGAAUACCGGAGAAUGUUAUCACGGGAGACACACGGCGGGUGCUAACGUCCGUCGUGAAGAGGGAAACAACCCAGACCGCCAGCUAAGGUCCCAAAGUCAUGGUUAAGUGGGAAACGAUGUGGGAAGGCCCAGACAGCCAGGAUGUUGGCUUAGAAGCAGCCAUCAUUUAAAGAAAGCGUAAUAGCUCACUGGUCGAGUCGGCCUGCGCGGAAGAUGUAACGGGGCUAAACCAUGCACCGAAGCUGCGGCAGCGACGCUGAUGCGUUGUUGGGUAGGGGAGCGUUCUGUAAGCCUGCGAAGGUGGCCUGUGAGGGUUGCUGGAGGUAUCAGAAGUGCGAAUGCUGACAUAAGUAACGAUAAAGCGGGUGAAAAGCCCGCUCGCCGGAAGACCAAGGGUUCCUGUCCAACGUUAAUCGGGGCAGGGUGAGUCGACCCCUAAGGCGAGGCCGAAAGGCGUAGUCGAUGGGAAACGGGUUAAUAUUCCCGUAC
RNAcentral lists this ribosomal RNA (737 nucleotides) under Salmonella enterica. Its description in RNAcentral is "partial 23S ribosomal RNA". It matches the Rfam family "Bacterial large subunit ribosomal RNA", at positions 711 to 1444 of the family's 2925-position model. Lineage: Bacteria; Pseudomonadati; Pseudomonadota; Gammaproteobacteria; Enterobacterales; Enterobacteriaceae. RNAcentral also lists the same sequence under 1 other name. The record is from RNAcentral.